GGGACCAAUGAUGACAACAUGUCACGCCCUGUGAUUAAUCCACUUCUGAGUAGCUGGGGUCCAUU
This 65-nucleotide small nucleolar RNA is filed under the name Vicugna pacos (alpaca). RNAcentral describes it as "Small nucleolar RNA SNORD112 (ENSVPAG00000017655.1)". Lineage: Eukaryota; Metazoa; Chordata; Mammalia; Artiodactyla; Camelidae. The record is from RNAcentral.